Molecule: RNA transcript, 1902 nt
Organism: Panicum virgatum (switchgrass)
Lineage: Eukaryota; Viridiplantae; Streptophyta; Magnoliopsida; Poales; Poaceae
Gene name: spermine synthase-like
Exons: 13
Source: RefSeq, a predicted model, not a curated record
CUCCGUCCUCAUCCAUCUAGACCUUCUCUUCUCUGUUUCCUUUUCCUCUUCGCUCUCUCUUCUCUUUGCUGGAUCCAAGCUUACGGAGGAUGUGAGUAGGCGCGAGCCUGCAACGAGCGAGGAGGCGAAGCUUGAUGCGAGCAGGCGCAAGCCCACAGGGAGCGAGGAGGCAAAGAUCAAUGCAUGGGCGCGGCGGCUCCAACGGUGGGCGAUAGCGGCAUAGCCCAAAGCAGCUGCGACGGCGCUACGCUCGUCCGCCAUGCCGAGGCUGGGAACUCCAAAGAGGAACAGGGUCCAUGGAGGGUGGAGGCGCAGGAAAUGGUUUCACUGGGACGGCGCAGACAAAGGGGACUGGGGGUGAUGGCUCCGCCAAGCCGCUGCCCCCUUGCUGCGUCAAGGCCAGGGCCGCGGCGGCUGAGUCUGAGGCCAAGUGUCAUGCUACAGUGGUGUCGGGAUGGUUCACCGAACCACGGUCACGAUGCGGUAAAGCAAGCAAAGUUCAAUACUACAAUAACCCGAUGUGGCCAGGAGAGGCCCACUCCUUGAAAGUGGAGAAGAUCUUGUACCAGGGGAAGUCACCAUACCAAGAAGUCUUAGUUUUUGAGUCGUCAACCUAUGGUAAAGUCCUUGUGCUUGAUGGCAUUGUUCAGUUGACUGAUAAGGAUGAAUGCGCGUACCAAGAAAUGAUUACUCACCUCCCACUUUGUUCCAUUUCAUCCCCUAAAAAGGUUUUAGUUAUUGGUGGUGGUGAUGGUGGUGUACUCCGAGAGAUUUCCAGACAUAGUUCUGUGGAGUCUAUUGACAUAUGUGAAAUUGAUCAGCUGGUUAUUGAUGUUUGCAAAGAUUUCUUCCCACAACUGUCUGUUGGAUUUGAAGAUCCUCGUGUUCAACUUCAUGUUGGUGAUGCUGUGGAGUUCUUGAGAAAUGCUCCUGAAGGUACAUAUGACGCUAUCAUUGUUGAUUCAUCAGACCCAAUAGGGCCUGCUCAGGAACUUGUGGAGAAGCCUUUUUUUGAUACAAUUGCUAGAGCCUUGAGGCCUGGUGGAGUUCUUUGUAAUCAAGCUGAGAGUAUGUGGUUGCAUACACAUCUGAUUCAGGAUAUGCUUUCAAUUUGCCAUGAGACUUUCAAGGGUUCUGUGCACUAUGCAUGGACUAGUGUCCCAACAUACCCGAGUGAACUGGUACCAGCGCUGGUUCAUUUGGCAAUCGUAGGAUAUUUGGGGCUUAGCUCAACUCAUGCAAGGAACCAGUCAUAGCCUGACAAAACAUUAUGGAGUGAUUGGGUUUUUGCUAUGUGCCAAAGAAGGCCCACCGGUCAACUUCCUGACUCCUAUAAAUCCAAUUGAAAAACUUGAGGGAGCUACAAAAGCUGGAAGGGAGAUCAGAUUUUAUAAUUCAGAGAUGCAUAGGGCAGCAUUUGUUCUUCCGACCUUUGUGAAAAAAGAGCUAGAAGCGUAUUGCGUUUCCACCGGAAGGGAAGAGCCAGAGGAAACAGCUGCAACAGCACCGAAGAUUACUGUUACUUCGAAGAGCGAAAUUCUCACUGCAUCCUAGACCAGGGCUCACGACCCAUCAUGCGAUAUCAAGAAAUAGUUCCUUCCCGGCCCUCUUGGGUAUCCAGUGGAUAAACUCAGCAAUGUGCCAUCCCAUAUUGUAACCAUCUGUUAAUAAUUCAUGCUCUGAAUGAUGAGAUGAGAUUAGCAUGUUCUGAAGAGAAAAGACGAGCUGGCAGUGCAAUGUAUGAUUUGAGCGAUGAACAUUUCAAAUUGCAUGCCCCCUACUUUUUUGCCGAGCGGUGUGCUGUACUGGUAUUUGGUGGCCAUUUCUCAUCACCAGAGUGAGGUAUUUGUGAAUUAUGAACGUUUUGGUGAACUGGAUGUAUGGGAAAUCUUCUCAUCUAAA